RNAcentral lists this ribosomal RNA (501 nucleotides) under uncultured bacterium. RNAcentral describes it as "partial 16S ribosomal RNA". It matches the Rfam family "Bacterial small subunit ribosomal RNA", at positions 29 to 523 of the family's 1533-position model. The record is from RNAcentral.
AUUGAACGCUGGCGGCAUGCCUUACACAUGCAAGUCGAACGGCGGCACGGGUGCUUGCACCUGGUGGCGAGCGGCGAACGGGUGAGUAAUACAUCGGAACGUACCUUAUCGUGGGGGAUAACGCAGCGAAAGCUGUGCUAAUACCGCAUACGCCCUGAGGGGGAAAGCGGGGGACCGCAAGACCUCGCGCGAUUAGAGCGGCCGAUGCCUGAUUAGCUUGUUGGUGGGGUAAAAGCCCACCAAGGCGACGAUCAGUAGCUGGUCUGAGAGGACGAUCAGCCACACUGGGACUGAGACACGGCCCAGACUCCUACGGGAGGCAGCAGUGGGGAAUUUUGGACAAUGGGGGCAACCCUGAUCCAGCAAUGCCGCGUGAGUGAAGAAGGCCUUCGGGUUGUAAAGCUCUUUUGUCAGGGAAGAAACACCGGCUCUAACACAGUCCGGGAAUGACGGUACCUGAAGAAUAAGCACCGGCUAACUACGUGCCAGCCGCCGCGGUAA